Molecule: long non-coding RNA, 3284 nt
Organism: Xiphophorus couchianus (Monterrey platyfish)
Lineage: Eukaryota; Metazoa; Chordata; Actinopteri; Cyprinodontiformes; Poeciliidae
Exons: 2
Source: RefSeq, a predicted model, not a curated record
AAUCCGCGUAGCACAGAAAUGUCCCGGAGUAGUGUGUAAAAAUAUGUCUUCAGCGACAACAAAAACUCUACUGAAAUCCAAUCGACCUUCUUUGUUUCAAAAAAACUCCCCAGUUGCUUCCUGAAAAUUUUCCCCUCCACCUCAAAAACCUCCCCACAGGGAAUGAUCUCAUCAGGGUUCAUGAAAUUGAUUUGACUGCUGCAUGUUUUCCUAAAUGUGGCCUGAAACUUCACUGAUCUUGUGAUAGAAAGCACAGAGAGCUCGUUUCACAAGAUCAAAUGAAAAUUUGUCGAAGAACAUACUAAAAAAAAAAAAGAAAAAGAAGGGAAGACAUCAUUUCUGUGUUGCUUUCUUUUUGCUUGAUCAUUUUCAAACUUUCCAUCACAGCAUGAGGUUGCCUGGUCUCAAGCCGAGCUCAGUCUGUGUCGUUUUUCAUAACAAUGUAGAUUGUCUUAACACAGAUGUCGGCAUCGCUUGAAAAUCCUGAUUUAAAGACGCUCCAAUUAAAGUCUGUCUUUUAAAAUACCCAAUGCAAACGUACUUUAAAAAAUAUUGGUUUUUAAUCAUGAAAUCUGGUCGCUUUCAAAAACCGGCUGAUUUGCAUUAUACCGUCCACACAAAUGCAGCCACCUGUCAAGCCUGUUGGAUAUUUAAAAAUACAUACUUUGAUCGGAGCUUUGCUCGGAAAGUGCAAAACACACUUCCACCAUAUGACGCACACCACGACGCCCCUACACACCCCGCGCACAUGGACGCGCCGCUGAGUAACGGCUCAUACCUCGGUCUUGUUCUCCCCACAGUCAGGCUCCCAGGAGGAGCAUGUGUGGAGAACGCAUCUCCCAGCUGGUGCAUGUCCACGUCCUCAGCUGUCGCUGCUAGUUUGGCUUAGCUUCUCAUCGUCUCGCAGCUAUAAUGGACGAGGAGAGACUCAUUACGGGCCGCGAAUAAUUCAGAGCCCGUGUCACAAAAGCGAUCGUUUCGGAAAGCCGUGCAGUCGCAGAGCUCUGCAAACCGUUUACUUUUUAAAUGUACAACGAACGUCGCCCUGUCCGUUUUGCGUCCGCCCGCGUCGGGCUUUCACAUGACACAUCAGCUGACAGCCAGCUGCGUGGUGGCGGCAGUGUGAUUUGUGCUGUAGACUAGAGUACAGUAUGCUUGGGUAUCUGUGGCAUCUCUUCACAGCUGUCUUUAAAAAAAAUAAAUGAUUAGCAGCCUUAUUGAAUCGCCUCUCUGUAGGUCUGAUAAAACAAACUGUUCCUGUGGCGGGCUUUUGGGUGUACGAGGAAACGGCUGCUAAUUGUUUCGCUGUCCUGUUCAGUUUGUCCGUCCAAUGUGUCUGUCUGUAAUGACCAUACAACAGCUGCAUUUCAUCUGGGAUCAGUGCGACAAAUGUUCCAAAUGCUAUUUGGGGCGAGCAUGAUGAAGUGACAGGAAGCAUGUUUUCAUUACCAUAGUCGAGGUGAGAUUUUUCAUUUUGGUCAGAGAACCAGCAAAAUCCUGUGCUGUGUUUUCAGAUGUGUGAUGCUGAUUGAUAACCUGAAUUAAUUAGCAGUUAAUCUGAAAGUGUCUUUAGUUCUUUGGCGCACUCUCUCUCUCUCUAACUGGUCAGAUGCUGUCAUUUCUGGUUGAAGAGUUGAACAUCAUUAGCAUUCUGAUCUAGCAGUACUGCUUGUUGGAGAUUAUAUUUUACAUAGAUAUCUUGGUUAGUGAGCAGUUUUAGACUUUUUAUUUACUGUUCCAAUGUCUGAAAACUCGUGAUUUCACAAAAACCUGACUGAGUCCAAUCUUUUCUACUGUAGAUGUUGCACUUUUUUCUUGUUUGGUGGACACUUAGCAACUACUCUGUGUAAAAGUAGGAAUGUGCCAGUUUGAUAUUCUCACUGUACGAUACCUUUGUGUAAAAAAACACAAUAGUGUAAGUCACAGUAUUGAGCAAUAAUGUUACCUCAAAGCUGUUUUUAAUGUCUUUGACAAUGUUGUUGUACUCUUUUCAGGUUUGAAUACAACAUACGGGUACAUCUGCAAAAAUCAGAAAACAUAUUAAAAAGUUCCUUCAUCUCGUGUAUUGGCAAUGCUCAGAACGAAGUAUUUUAAGUCUCAACUACUAAUAAAACUGAGUUUUAUCACAGAAGUCUAUGGUGAAGACUACUGACAAAACAGUUGUCUGGACAUUUCCAGGGAGUUCAAGCCACUAAACAAGCUAGCUGUUCUGUGUUUGGUCUCCUCAGCGUAUUAAUGGAAAGUUUCAAGUAGAAACUCAUUUGAAUUUGGAAAAAGUUGCACAAGCAGCAGGGAUAAUUGCAUGCUUAGGGGGCUGUGAAGCAAAUCACAUUUAAUAGUUAAGGUCAGGUUUCAUGGUUUUAUUGUUAUGCACUUUAAUCUCCUUAUUUCAAUGUUUUAAAGUGCUUUUUAUGAAUCAAAUGAAAAGAUUAAUAAACUCUGGCAAUAUAUCACUUUCUGCAAUGAAUCUACAUAAUGUAUAAGUUUCACUUUCUGAAGUACUAAAAUAAAAUAAUUAUGAUAAUAUUCUAGUUCAUUGAGAUGCGCCUGUAGACCAUAAUUAUUCUUUUGCUUUGGCAGAUUUAGAUUUAAAGUAUUAUCUUUCAAAUUUUCCAAGACGUUUUCAACGUUUUGAUGAAACUCAGCAAUAUUAAGGAUUUGAUUUCUGUAAUUCCGAAGAACAUAUUUUAAUUGAUUUUUGCAGGAGCUCGAAAUAACUUUUCAUGCUGUUUUUUGAUCAAAUGUGAUUAAAAAGGCAACAUGUUGCAUUGUUUUAUUGCAAUUUCAACAGAAUCCUCUCUCCUUUUCUUACCAUAAACAAAACGUCUUGGUUGAAUGCCAAGGAUUUAUAACUACAUCUGCCAGAGUCAUGAAUCAUUUUGGGCUUAACUGCACCUAAAACCCGUAUUGACACAGUUUACUUUAUUAAUAACUAAUUCCAUAAACAAAAUAACUCAUUUAUUGCAUAUUUAGUGGAAGACUACCUCACAUUUGCCUCCCCUAGUGUAUGCAAAUCUAACAUAUAGUAAAUGUGACACGUCUUCAUUUGAGUCGCUUCCUUUUCUGCUUGGAAUUCAAAGGUUAGCGUAAGAAACCAAUGGUAACCCACUCAAGAUAUAGGCGGGGAACAAAACAUUGUCCCACAGCCAUUUAAGAAGAAGCACAGUGUGAGAAUUGAGGAUUACUGUUCUGUUCACUGACUGAAAGAGGAUAAAAGAACCAUGUUAAAAAAAAAACAAAACGUGGACUUGUGGGAGUUUACCAGCUUAGUUACAUUUCAGAGU